UACGUAGGGUGCGAGCGUUAAUCGGAAUUACUGGGCGUAAAGCGUGCGCAGGCGGUUCGUUGUGUCUGAUGUGAAAGCCCCGGGCUUAACCUGGGAAUGGCAUUGGAAACUGGCGAGCUGGAGUGUGGCAGAGGGGGGUGGAAUUCCGCGUGUAGCAGUGAAAUGCGUAGAGAUGCGGAGGAACUCCGGUGGCGAAGGCGAGGUGCUGGGUCCUUUCUGACGCUGAUGCGCGAAAGCCAGGGGAGCAAACGGG
RNAcentral lists this ribosomal RNA (253 nucleotides) under uncultured bacterium. RNAcentral describes it as "partial 16S ribosomal RNA". It matches the Rfam family "Bacterial small subunit ribosomal RNA", at positions 524 to 776 of the family's 1533-position model. The record is from RNAcentral.